This 253-nucleotide ribosomal RNA is filed under the name uncultured bacterium. Its description in RNAcentral is "partial 16S ribosomal RNA". It matches the Rfam family "Bacterial small subunit ribosomal RNA", at positions 524 to 776 of the family's 1533-position model. The record is from RNAcentral.
GACGUAGGGCGCAAGCGUUGUUCGGAUUCAUUGGGCGUAAAGGGUGUGUAGGUGGCGCCGUAAGUCGGGUGUGAAAUUUCGGAGCUUAACUCCGAAACUGCAUUCGAUACUGCGGUGCUUGAGGACUGGAGAGGAGACUGGAAUUCAUGGUGUAGCAGUGAAAUGCGUAGAGAUCAUGAGGAAGACCAGUGGCGAAGGCGGGUCUCUGGACAGUUCCUGACACUGAGACACGAAGGCCAGGGGAGCAAACGGG